AGGCACCAUACCAGGGCUUUCUGUAUUGUUUGUUUACACUUGAGGUAAUGAACAACUACUGGGUGUUUCUGAAUGCACAACUUCCUUUUUCAAAGAUUAAGUGCUUUUUGAUCACUGUCAUGUCUUGCAUGUUUGUUAAUCUAACAAGCCCGUCCAUUCACAAAUAUGUUCACAAUGUGAUUUUGGUACAGCAACUAUUAUCUGGCAAACAUGGAAACAUUUUCACUAUUUUGCCCCUGCCUGCCAAAUGCUUGUGCUAUAAUAAAAGGCAUAACUGUAAAAGGUGAACCUCAUCUCAUAUUGAAAUGGGGAGAAUCUUACAGCUUCAAUCCAUUCAAUUAAAAAGAAACAGUUUUACAAAAGAUUGGUUAGACUACAUUUGGAGUACUGUGUGCAGUUCUGGUCGCCACACUAUCCGGAGGCUGUGAUGAAGCUAGGGAGGAUGCAGAAAAGACUCACAAUGAUGUUGCCUGGACUGAAGGGCUUUAGUUCUAAGGAGAGUUUGGAUUGACUGGGACUGUUUUCUCUGGCAUGAAGGAGGCGCAGGAGUGACCUUGUCGAGGUUUAUAACAGAAUGAAAGGCAUACAUAGGGUAGUUAGUCCCAGUCUUUUUCCCAGGAUAGGGGAGUCUAAAACCAAAAGGCAUAGGUUUAAGGAGAGAGGGGAAACAUUAAAAAAAUAAUUGGGCAGGUACAUGGAUAGAAAAGGUUUAGAAGGAUACAGACCAAAUACAGGCAAAUGGCAUUAGCUUAGGAAGGCUUCUUGGUCAGCAGGGAUGUUAGACCAAAGGGCCUGUUUCCAUGCUGUAUAACUCUAUCAAUCUAUGCUGAAGAUUCAGAAGUUACUCCAAUCUCAUCAUAUUUUGGGAUAAACAUCAAGGUCGAUGUUUUAAAUGACCAAGCCUCCUGAUUUCUGAUGGGUAAAGAGAAAGUUCUGAGAGAGGUCAGCUCUGAAGGAGGCAGCAAGGAAUAAGUAUGUAAUAUUCAGCACACUUAUAUGCAGCUGGUUCUCAAUCCUGGACUCUGAGUGUUUGGGUCUGCUCAGUUAGGUAGCCUUCAAGUAUCACUGUAGCAGAUCUCCCAUAUUUAGUAUUACAUGUAUGAAGAUCAAUGUUACUGGAAGUGGAAAACGAUUAUAACAGUUUCCAGAGUGAAUUGCACCAUUCUGGACAAUUACUCCAGGAACAUUGUUCAGUGAACUGCACUGACAUGAAACAGUUGUUUUCUAUGUUGCACUUCCAAAUCCACCCAUCUUCAAGCCCUUAACCAUCAGUGUAGAAUUGUGGAACUAAGUUAGUAUGGUAGUUCCACAACUCUCAAAGUAACCAUUGUGGAUAUGCGCAAAUGUGUUUGGUUGACAAGCAAAAUGUAUUAUGGUCAUGCUGAAAUAGUACAUUUCACACAAUAUUCAAAAUCUUUGGGACAGUUUGCCCAGAUAUUUUCAGGCUACCAUUAUGGCAUUGUAUGUUUUUCAAUGAAAUCAAUAUGUUGAAUGGACAUAGUGAACAAGAAAUUCUAUUGACACAACAUUUAUGUGUGUGAUCCAAUAGAAUUUCAUUGCUAAACUAAUUGUGGAACAUGAACAACUACCCAUAAUCAUGAAGUUCACAAUUUUCUUUCUGAAUCUAUGAUGGACAUGUGCAACAUAUGUAGGUAGGGCACUUCAGCAAAAUAUAUUCAUGCAUGCGUGGUCCACGGAUCACAUGGUCCAUUUGUGUAGAUAAAGGCCUUCACAACAAAUAGGAGAUCUGCUACAGAGAUACUGGGCAGGUCCCUGGAUGUGGAGUCUAAGAAAUGAAAUCCAACUGCAAGUAGGUGCAUCGAUGUUGAAAACUUAAUUCCUUACUGCCUUGCUGCCUCCCUCAUGUCUCCCACCUGAUCCUAACCCCAAACAGACCAUUUCCUCCAGCACACUUCCCUGUCAACCCAAUUAUGACCCAAACCUUUCUGCAGCAAAACAAGACCACCAUGGAUGCGCUGACAUAGGGUCCUGAUUCUGCCCUCAGUUGGACUUAUGGUCAACCUUUAAGCACAUGCACAUGCACACACAGCCUCCCUCCUCCUGUAUUACCUUCCCCUACAACACACAUGCUACAUCUCGUAUGCUGGACUAUUAACCUUCCUGUAUUUCUUUGCUAACUUGUCAAUGGACAGCACUUAAAGAGCAUGGCCUGCUCUACUGUACACAAUGCCUUUGUUGAGACAUUUUACAAAGUAAGCUCUUGCCUGUAACAUGUCCCAUGCAUUUCUCAGCACAGAAGAGUUUACAGGUCAGGGUGUCACUGCUGACCAUCUGAAAAAUUCCAGAUCAUGCUGUAACCACUCCUUUUGUUUGCCUUAUUCUAUCCACUCUAUUUGCUUUACGAUUUGAGCAUUGAUUGGAGAGUAUAAUUCAUCAGUCAUGAUCAGGUGACCUAAGAAGUCACUGAAAGCAUAGUCUAGUAUUGAGUUUGUAUUUAUUGCCUGGUGCUGAUACUUUGGGCACUUGUGAAAUGCUUUAAAGAGAGAAAGACCCAGGCAGUCAGGAUUAAAUAACAAUUUAAGCAAACUGUGGUAAACUGUGCCCAAAACACGGUGUGAGUAGUCCAACAUAAGGACCACUCUAUAGAACUACUAUAACCUUCAGCAACAGAAAAUCAGUGAUGAAAAAUCAUAGUUCUCGGGGCCUUAUACAAAGCUGAAAUUUUGGUGUGGGGUUUCUUCUUGUACUUUCCGCAGAACCUAUCAGGUGCGGCAAUAGUCCUGAGAAAUGUGGAAGAUGUCAGGUAAAGAAGGGUCUCGCAUUGAACCUGCAGAAUCAGCGGGUGGUGUGGUGCAGGAACUGUGUUUGAUGACUAUCAGUGCUUCAACAUUAUUCCCUUCCAUUAUGGAGGCUGCAUUUUGACAAAGAGAGCUGUCUCAGAAUCACUUGAGAGAACAUAAAACAGUCUGCAAAGUCUGGUGGAAACUGAACAAACAUGCAGUUCAUCUCUUUGACGCUCUGACUUUGACUCAGAAGUUUUUGAAACUAUGGACUGUAGUGUUUGUCAAUCUUUCUUAUCUUGGAUUAAAUACAAUAUGGAAUCAAACUGACAGAACUCUGAGGUAGGUUUUUGCACUUCUCAUGGGUAACCAGAGCUAAUUCACAGAUCAGUGUUCAGACCUGUUUAGGAAAUACCCACUAGUAUAAAAUAGUACCAUGGAAUCUUUUAAGUCUGCCUGAAUAGGCAAGGCUUCAUUUUAACAUAUUAUCCAAAAGCAAUGGCAUUCCCAAGUCAGGAUCUAGGGAAGCAACAUGGCACCAUCUUUUUUCAAUUUUUUCUGAGUGUCCAGAUGUAGUAGAAUAUGGUGGCGACAAAUGGCCAUGUACAUUGGGAUGAGCUGGUAUUUUUCCUGUUUACACUUUUCAUGUUUCUUUUCCUCUGGGGUUUAUGAUGGAUGGAGUAUAGGUUGGUAAUUCAUGGGUCACCCCAAUAAUCAUCUAAAAAUGUGUAAUAUGAUGUUGUGGGUGUGUGUGCAUAUACACACUGUCAAUAACAUGAAAGACUUAUGAGUCCAAUCAUGAUUAGAAUGGUGCAAAUUGGAUCACAGCAUUUCACAUAUACUGAGGCUCCAGCUUGGCAAAAUCAUAUUCCUGAAGCUCCUGAGAAAGCACUCUUAAUCCAGGUGUCCCUUGAUAAAAAUUACAUACAGUAAGAUUGGUGGCUAAAGUUAACAGAAAUAUAGCCUUGAUUUCUGUAUCUGUUAAAAGAGAUAAUUAUACAAAAUAAGACAGUUUUAAAAAAAUUUCAACAAUAGUAACAUACAAUUCAUUGUGCAAAAAAAUGGAAAUUUCCAACGAUUCAAUCAUUGAUUAUUUACCAGCUACUGACGCACAUUUUACGUCAAGCAGGUAACCUAUUGUGCAAAAAAGGACCUUUUUAGAUAUUUUGAAAGCAAUUCAUUGUGCAAAGCGAACAUUUCCAAGAGUCAAAUAUUGAUUGGUUGACAUUAACCUAUUGAGUCAAUAAUUUCUAUUGAAUUAAUGGAAACAAAGUUUAAUGGAAAUUCUUG
This is a long non-coding RNA of Pristis pectinata (smalltooth sawfish), 4031 nucleotides long. RefSeq lists it as uncharacterized. The record is from RefSeq and is a predicted model, not a curated record. NCBI's taxonomy places the organism in Eukaryota, Metazoa, Chordata, Chondrichthyes, Rhinopristiformes, Pristidae. The transcript is spliced from 3 exons.